GUGUUUUGAAUAGCUUAAAAUACGACUACAAAAGAAUACAAUUAUAUAAUCAUACUAAUUAUAUUAGGAUGAAGAAUUAUAUAAAGAAUAUACUAAUGAAGAUGAGUUUUAUCAGAUAUAAAGUCACUCCACGUGACAUAUUAUGGCUGACAUGAUUUGCCACAAGGUUUAAGUUUAUGAAUUUUUAAUGAGUAUUUUAAAUAGUACUUCAAAAACUCGUAUAAGAUGAGUCGUUUUUGAAGCUAUUUAAACCACUUGUCGUCGUGUUUUAUCACAUAUAAAACACUCCGCUACGCGUAGUCGUGUUUUCUAUGUGAUAAAACACUCCUACGCGUGCUUUAAAUAGUACAUAUCAUCAUGUUAUUACUCAAAUUACUGUAUCUCAUUUUAUCUUUUUUGCUUUAUCAUGAAAAAUAGCACCCCCCCUCCCCGCAUCCCCAGUAAAUCCAUCUCUGAUCGCAGCACUGGUGAACUACUAGUCCAGCUCAUGGGAACAGCUCCUUAUUCCGUAUUUUAAAAAGGAUAUCCGCCUGCCUUGUCUCUGCGAAAUAGAAGAAAUAAAAAUCAAUUGAAUUUACCUGAAUAUAAAAACUUCAUGUACAUGGGCAAAGGAAGCAUUAUCAUGCCUCGAGUUAGCUGUUAUUUUGCUAUCCACCAGAUCUUAUAGAUUUUGUUGAUUAAUAAAGGGAAAUGGCAAUAUAAAUUUUUAUUUUCUCAUUUGCUUAGUUCUCGAAAUAUUUUCACUUGAAGUAAUGAGAUGUCCGCCAGUAGUAUACCCCGGCCACCCCCCCCCCCCCACAUGGCGCCGGAAGUAAUUAGUAUUCAGGUGGAGUUAGAUAGCACCGGAAGUGACGUCAUAAGGUGCGAGCGUAUGCUCGAGCGGGGUAUGUGCACUGAGCUAUACUAUAUUACUGGAGGAAGUGCUCGGCAAAAAAGUGUCCGCAAAAACAUGGCGGAUUUUCGCGCCAUAUGACGCCAUUUCCAUGACAACUGGUUCCUCCGGCUCAUGAAAUUACCGCUGACCAGGCUCAAUUCUGAGCCCGCUACAAUUUUCACCCCCCCCCCUGGUUUUAUCAAAAAAAUUUUGGCUUUUCGAGGUUUUUGCAGUAAAAUCUCGUUGUUUUUUUACACUUUUUCGACUUUUGACCAUUUGUUAAAAGAUUUAAAAGUCGUACACGCUAUUCUCACCCGCGAAAGACAACAAACCAAUAUGAAAAGCCCGAGAAAUUUAGGCAAAGGCGAUAUUUGAUGGCAGUCGGCAGAGCUCACAGGUAAAUAUUUCACAUACUAUUGAUAUGUUUUUAUUUUUAAUUUUUAAAAGAUAAUGGGAGUAAAUGAUAGAAUACAAUCCAUUAGAUAACAGGCUCUUUGUAUAGUAUAACGUAUUAUUUCCCCCCAUGUGUUCAAAGU
This is a non-coding RNA of Paramuricea clavata, 1410 nucleotides long. The record is from the annotation of a GenBank genome assembly. NCBI's taxonomy places the organism in Eukaryota, Metazoa, Cnidaria, Anthozoa, Malacalcyonacea, Plexauridae.